This 497-nucleotide ribosomal RNA is filed under the name uncultured bacterium. RNAcentral's name for it is "partial 16S ribosomal RNA". It matches the Rfam family "Bacterial small subunit ribosomal RNA", at positions 28 to 507 of the family's 1533-position model. The record is from RNAcentral.
GACGAACGCUGGCGGCGUGCCUAAUACAUGCAAGUUGAGCGAUGAAGCUUGGUGCUUGCACCAAUUUGAAGAGCAGCGAACGGGUGAGUAACGCGUGGGGAAUCUGCCUUUGAGCGGGGGACAACAUUUGGAAACGAAUGCUAAUACCGCAUAACAACUUUAAACAUAAGUUUUAAGUUUGAAAGAUGCAAUUGCAUCACUCAAAGAUGAUCCCGCGUUGUAUUAGCUAGUUGGUGAGGUAAAGGCUCACCAAGGCGAUGAUACAUAGCCGACCUGAGAGGGUGAUCGGCCACAUUGGGACUGAGACACGGCCCAAACGCCUACGGGAGGCAGCAGUAGGGAAUCUUCGGCAAUGGACGAAAGUCUGACCGAGCAACGCCGCGUGAGUGAAGAAGGGUUUCGGAUCGUAAAACUCUGUUGGUAGAGAAGAACGGUGGUGAGAGUGGAAAGCUCAUCAAGUGACGGUAACUACCCAGAAAGGGACGGCUAACUACGUG